RNAcentral lists this ribosomal RNA (496 nucleotides) under uncultured Hyphomicrobiales bacterium. RNAcentral describes it as "bacterial SSU rRNA". It matches the Rfam family "Bacterial small subunit ribosomal RNA", at positions 9 to 533 of the family's 1533-position model. Lineage: Bacteria; Pseudomonadati; Pseudomonadota; Alphaproteobacteria; Hyphomicrobiales. The record is from RNAcentral.
GAGUUUGAUCCUGGCUCAGAAUGAACGCUGGCGGCAGGCCUAACACAUGCAAGUCGAACGGAGUUAUAUUGUAGCUUGCUAUGGUAUAACUUAGUGGCAGACGGGUGAGUAAUGUAUAGGAAUCUACCUAGUAGUACGGAAUAAUUGUUGGAAACGGCAACUAAUACCGUAUACGCCCUACGGGGGAAAAAUUUAUUGCUAUUAGAUGAGCCUAUAUUAGAUUAGUUAGUUGGUGAGGUAAAGGCUUACCAAGACAAUGAUCUAUAGCUGAUCUGAGAGGAUGAUCAGCCACACUGGAACUGAGAUACGGUCCAGACUCCUACGGGAGGCAGCAGUGGGGAAUAUUGGACAAUGGGCGAAAGCCUGAUCCAGCCAUGCCGCAUGAGUGAAGAAGGCCUUCGGGUUGUAAAGCUCUUUUAGUGAGGAAGAUAAUGACGGUACUCACAGAAGAAGUCCUGGCUAACUCCGUGCCAGCAGCCGCGGUAAUACGGAGAGG